CCAGUAUUGUUCGUGCUGCUGA
Molecule: microRNA, 22 nt
Filed under: Salmo salar (Atlantic salmon)
Lineage: Eukaryota; Metazoa; Chordata; Actinopteri; Salmoniformes; Salmonidae
Description: ssa-miR-16a-3p
Gene: ssa-miR-16a-3p
Source: miRBase by way of RNAcentral